UUCCCUGAGGAUGAAGAGGAUGCCUCAACUCAACCUUCUUGCUGUGAACUGUUGUGAGCAUGGCAUUAGAGACAUCACACGAAGAAACAUAUGAGGACAGUUCCAGAGCAUGAAGGUUGUCUCAGCUGCAUCCUUGCCAACCUCCUAGUGAGUUAGGGACAUCUCCUGAGGAAAGGAAGGGUGAGGUCAUUAGGCUUUGUGCAAAAGAGCCUCUGUGUCAGGAACAUCUGAGCUGCCGAGGCACCUGGAGUGGUAUCUCUGGUUUGACAGCAUGCAGCUCCACCUUGGACUAGUCACUUGAUGAAACGACACUGUUUUGAAG
This 322-nucleotide long non-coding RNA is filed under the name Manacus vitellinus (golden-collared manakin). RNAcentral's name for it is "lncRNA (ENSMVIG00005008804.1)". Lineage: Eukaryota; Metazoa; Chordata; Aves; Passeriformes; Pipridae. The record is from RNAcentral.